Molecule: long non-coding RNA, 475 nt
Filed under: Olea europaea subsp. europaea
Lineage: Eukaryota; Viridiplantae; Streptophyta; Magnoliopsida; Lamiales; Oleaceae
Source: RNAcentral
CUACCUUUAUACACGAUUGUAGCCCCUCAGUGUAUAAGAGUUAAAUACAUGACUCUAGUACACGACCGUAGCCCCUCAGUGCACUAGAGUAAGAUAAUCACAUCAAUUAUUUAAAUAAUAAUUUUAAAACAAUCAUGCUCAUUUACUAAUUCUCGAAAAUAAGACAUUUCAUGUAAUUAACAUGCUUUAAAAUAAAAAGGAAAUCUUCUUUUUGAAAACGUAGAUUUUCCACUCACAGAUCUAUGAAUAGCAAUUUGGUUCAAUUUUACCAGCCUUGCCCAACUUUCACGUUACCACCUUAGUGUAAAUAGCAUCUCCAAUUCAAAAAUAUUGACUUGAAAACAUAUAUAUUCCUUCCUUAAAAUCUCUUUUCCUCUCUUUUUCCUUUCCUUCAUUUUCUUCCCUCUUUUCUUUCCCUUUUUCUUCUUCUUCUCUGCCGGUCCUUUCUUUCUUUUAGUGUGUGUGUGUGAUUUAU